GAGCGAAGAGACAGGAGGGACAGGGAGAGAGAGAGGAGAGAGAGAGAGAGAGGAGCGAGAGAGACCAAGAAACUUGAAAAACUAAGGGGAAAAGGGCGGAGGAGAGGCAGCAGCGCGGUCCCUGCAAGCGUUCGCUUUCCUGCAUUGGCCGAGCAGCCCCCAGCACGCCUGGUCUGCGGGGCAGGGCCGUGCGGCCCCAAGGAAGGAUGCGGUGAGCCAGAGGGUUCCAGACAAAGGAGGGGAUCCCCAAGGCUCCGGGCCAGCCAGUCCCUCUUUUACUGGCACCACGGUCCCUCCUAGGCGGGGACGAAGAGGGAAGGGGUGGAGGCCUCUACCCUCCCCUCUGCGUGUGGCUGUGUCCCUUUACAGAAUGACAGGCUCCUACUUCCGAGGGCGGGGACUAAUGGGCUAUAGGUCAGAGGUCGGCCGGUGGACUGCCUGAUUUGAUCAUAUGUCCUCCUUUGACUUACUCAGCUGGAGGUAAAGGGCCAACAGGACUUCAUGAGGAAGGAGUGAUGUGUGCAGCUGCUCAACACCCUGAAAGGCAAUUUGGGGACCAAGAAGGAGAGUUAAUAAACUGACCUAACACAUU
This is a long non-coding RNA of Chlorocebus sabaeus (green monkey), 592 nucleotides long. RefSeq lists it as uncharacterized. The record is from RefSeq and is a predicted model, not a curated record. NCBI's taxonomy places the organism in Eukaryota, Metazoa, Chordata, Mammalia, Primates, Cercopithecidae.